GAUGAAGAACGCAGCGAAAUGCGAUAAGUAAUGUGAAUUGCAGAAUUCAGUGAAUCAUCGAAUCUUUGAACGCACAUUGCGCCCUCUGGUAUUCCGGGGGGCAUGCCUGUUCGAGCGUCAUUAUAACCACUCAAGCUCUCGCUUGGUAUUGGGGUUCGCGGUUUCGCGGCCCCUAAAAUCAGUGGCGGUGCCUGUCGGCUCUACGCGUAGUAAUACUUCUCGCGAUUGAGUUCGAUAGGUCUACUUGCCAGUAACCCCCAAUUUUUACAGGUUGACCUCGGAUCAGGUAGGGAUACCUGCUGAACUUAAGCAUAUCAAUAAGCGGAGGA
Molecule: unclassified non-coding RNA, 329 nt
Filed under: soil metagenome
Description: partial contains 5.8S ribosomal RNA, internal transcribed spacer 2, and large subunit ribosomal RNA
Rfam family: 5.8S ribosomal RNA (bases 1-120)
Source: RNAcentral